UGGCUCAGGACGAACGCUGGCGGCGUGCCUAAUACAUGCAAGUCGAGCGGACAGAUGGGAGCUUGCUCCCUGAUGUUAGCGGCGGACGGGUGAGUAACACGUGGGUAACCUGCCUGUAAGACUGGGAUAACUCCGGGAAACCGGGGCUAAUACCGGAUGGUUGUUUGAACCGCAUGGUUCAAACAUAAAAGGUGGCUUCGGCUACCACUUACAGAUGGACCCGCGGCGCAUUAGCUAGUUGGUGAGGUAACGGCUCACCAAGGCAACGAUGCGUAGCCGACCUGAGAGGGUGAUCGGCCACACUGGGACUGAGACACGGCCCAGACUCCUACGGGAGGCAGCAGUAGGGAAUCUUCCGCAAUGGACGAAAGUCUGACGGAGCAACGCCGCGUGAGUGAUGAAGGUUUUCGGAUCGUAAAGCUCUGUUGUUAGGGAAGAACAAGUACCGUUCGAAUAGGGCGGUACCUUGACGGUACCUAACCAGAAAGCCGCGGCUAACUACGUGCCAGCAGCCGCGGUAAUACGUAGGUGGCAAGCGUUGUCCGGAAUUAUUGGGCGUAAAGGGCUCGCAGGCGGUUUCUUAAGUCUGAUGUGAAAGCCCCCGGCUCAACCGGGGAGGGUCAUUGGAAACUGGGGGAACUUGAGUGCAGAAGAGGAGAGUGGAAUUCCACGUGUAGCGGUGAAAUGCGUAGAGAUGUGGAGGAACACCAGUGGCGAAGGCGACUCUCUGGUCUGUAACUGACGCUGAGGAGCGAAAGCGUGGGGAGCGAACAGGAUUAGAUACCCUGGUAGUGCACGCCGUAAACGAUGAGUGCUAAGUGUUAGGGGGUUUCCGCCCCUUAGUGCUGCAGCUAACGCAUUAAGCACUCCGCCUGGGGAGUACGGUCGCAAGACUGAAACUCAAAGGAAUUGACGGGGGCCCGCACAAGCGGUGGAGCAUGUGGUUUAAUUCGAAGCAACGCGAAGAACCUUACCAGGUCUUGACAUCCUCUGACAAUCCUAGAGAUAGGACGUCCCCUUCGGGGGCAGAGUGACAGGUGGUGCAUGGUUGUCGUCAGCUCGUGUCGUGAGAUGUUGGGUUAAGUCCCGCAACGAGCGCAACCCUUGAUCUUAGUUGCCAGCAUUUAGUUGGGCACUCUAAGGUGACUGCCGGUGACAAACCGGAGGAAGGUGGGGAUGACGUCAAAUCAUCAUGCCCCUUAUGACCUGGGCUACACACGUGCUACAAUGGACAGAACAAAGGGCAGCGAAACCGCGAGGUUAAGCCAAUCCCACAAAUCUGUUCUCAGUUCGGAUCGCAGUCUGCAACUCGACUGCGUGAAGCUGGAAUCGCUAGUAAUCGCGGAUCAGCAUGCCGUGGUGAAUACGUUCCCGGGCCUUGUACACACCGCCCGUCACACCACGAGAGUUUGUAACACCCGAAGUCGGUGAGGUAACCUUUUAGGAGCCAGCCGCCGAAGGUGGGACAGAUGAUUGGGGUGAAGUCGUAACAAGGUAACCG
RNAcentral lists this ribosomal RNA (1501 nucleotides) under Bacillus sp. mixed culture J6-6. RNAcentral's name for it is "bacterial SSU rRNA". It matches the Rfam family "Bacterial small subunit ribosomal RNA". Lineage: Bacteria; Bacillati; Bacillota; Bacilli; Caryophanales; Bacillaceae. The record is from RNAcentral.